This 2188-nucleotide long non-coding RNA is filed under the name Nicotiana benthamiana. Its description in RNAcentral is "long non-coding RNA (NBEN_LNC007041)". The record is from RNAcentral. Lineage: Eukaryota; Viridiplantae; Streptophyta; Magnoliopsida; Solanales; Solanaceae.
AAUCGUACAUAAAGAGUCUAACGUAUUAUUAUUGUGGGGAAGACCGUGAAAUUCGUUAAACCCUCCCGAAUCUAAUGAUUAAUACAAUAUUUAUUGAGGGCCCUGCAAUUUGUAGUUUUAUUUGGUGAGACUCGUCUCAUUUUAUUUAAAGGAUAAUCCUAAAAAGUCUAUGGUUUUCUACUGGGUUUUUGUCUCUAAUAACAAACAAAAGAAAACCUAAAUAAAAAAUAUAUGUGAAGGGUCCAAAUUCCGUGCUGGUUGUCGAGUCCAGAAAUACGAUGGUCCAGGCCCAAAUAGCCCCCGUUCAGGAUGCAUAGGCCCAUUUUUGCAGAGGACCUCAUUUCGAACCUAUGUACCCGCUGCCACAUUUCAAGCAUUAGUUGGCCUACGUUCACGGCACAGGCAUUUUUGGAAGCCAAAAAUAUCAAAGUCAUUUUCAACUUAUUAAUCUACGCAAAGAAAUACAACUUAAUAGUCAUUCUUACAUGAAUGAAAUCAUAGCAUUAAUAAUUGUGAGGCAAUCAGUGGGAUACUUGUAUAGUGGGCACCUAAUUUAUGACAAACUAACUCAAAGACCUUGGUUACUCAAAUGAACUAGUAAAAAAAAGUACAACCCAGUAUAAUCCUACUUAGUGGGGUCUGGGGAGGGUACUAUGUACGCUGAACAUACCCCUACCCUGGGGUAGAGAGGCUAUUUCCAAAUAGACCCCCAGCAUCCUUCCCUCCAAGAACUUCCCAUCUUUGCUCUUGGGGAGACUCGAACUCAAAUGAACUAGUGUAUGCAAAUAAAAAAAACAGCGAUUACCAAAUUUUAAAGGAAGUAUAGGUCUGUUGAAUUAAUGAAAUUAGAUCUAUUACACUGAAAAAAACUUCAAACAUAACAGACCUAUUGACCUUACUAAAGUGCUGAUUGUUUGGUUCCGUUCAAUGUUUGCAGAUUUCAGUUGCUAGUAUAAACAAUUAUUGAUUCCAGUUUUUGUGGAUUCACAGUUAUACUUUGCCAACCAAACCAAAUCAAUUUCUAGCAUUGGCUAUCUACUAACUUUAGUGCCUACAAGUAUAAAAUAGUCCAAUACCAAUCAAAAUAGUCCUAAGUACAUUCCAAUACCAAUCGAGCAAUUCACAUUAAUUACGAUGUAAACCUAAGCAACUAAAGCAACGAAUGCAAUGAAGCCAAAUCCUAAAACUCUUGAUGGAAGUGAAAACACAGUAGAAUUCAUCAAGCCUCAGAAUUCCAUUGCAUUUCAUUUCAUUACAGAGAUUACAACCUCGAAUGUGUACCUGGAAAUAGGGGAUAACAAAGGAGAGGAGAAAUGUCAACAAUAGAGUAGCAAUGAGCAGCAACAACUUAAAACUCAAACACGACCACAACCCAAAACAAGUUGAGGAAUCAACGGCAACAGCAAAUAUUCAAACCAAAAGACUCAAUCGAACUUGAAUUUACCCAGAAUAGAAGCAAUGACACUUCAGAACAAAUUCCACACACAACCAAAACCAAAAAUGCUUAGCGAACGAAAACAAACCCCAAGUUAAACCCAACAGAUGCACCACCUACCUGAAAAGGCAUCAGAAUGCUUCAAUAAAUCCAAACUCAACUGAAAAUACAAAAAUGUGAUGAGGAUAGAUGGAGAUAAGGAAUAAAUUGGCAGUUUCUCAAUGAUACAGUAGAGUCUUUUUGAUUUUUAUGAGUUUUUAUUUGUUUUUUUGGUUUUUGGAAGAUGGAAUUCAAAUUUAGAUCUAAAAAAACUAAGAGAGAGAGCUUCCAGGGGAAUUCGUGAGCUGAAAGGAAUCCCUCACACAAGGCAUUGGGCUGGAUUUUAUAGGCAAAGUGGAGGGGGUCUCAAAUUUAUAUUUGCAAAGCAGUCCCCAACUUUAUUUCUGUUUCCCACCUUUAAAUUUUUAAAAUUGACACCAAGGUCCUAUUGUAGAAUGUUCUAGCGCAUUCUGUAGCAUUUCAUCCUACGUCAAAAGCCCAAAACACCCCUGAGUUCAAACUAACUAAGGACUAUAGUUGACAAAUCCUUUGAACUAUAGUGAUUAACUGGAAUGCAUCCUAAUUAACAAUCAUCAUCAAGUUGAAGUCAACCACACUUAAACAAAACUGAUAAAGAAAAAUCAACAAACCAAAGGCUAAAUUAAAACCUAAUACCAAAUUAGCACAGUUUCACUGAACCAACAUGAAAUAAAU